Molecule: long non-coding RNA, 853 nt
Filed under: Homo sapiens (human)
Lineage: Eukaryota; Metazoa; Chordata; Mammalia; Primates; Hominidae
Description: LNC_000904
Source: RNAcentral
AAACAUUUUCUUCUGUUCUGUUGGCUCUUUUGUUUUGAGUAGAAGAAUCGUCGGUUGCAGGUCGCUUCCUUAUUCCUGCGCAUUGCUCCGCUAACCCCGUCUGGCUGUCCGACGGAUCAGUCUUUGGGUCCACCAAAUGCGUGUCCUCAGAGUUAGCCGGAGCCCCAAUUAAAGGCGCCGCCGGGCGGCUCCCGCUGACAUCCUGGCUCUCCUGCGCCGGCACCUUGCAGGCACCUUUGGGGGGCCGCGGGGGUCUGUAGUAGAACUCGGGCAAGCUGCCCUUCUCCACCUCUUGCCACUCGUACUUGCCCUCUAGGGGUUUGUGAUUCUGAAAAUCGAAAUUCCACUUGCGCUGGCUCGCCUCUUCCAUGUCUCUGCAGUGCUUCUCCAAGUCCCGGGUUAACUCUUCGUGGUCCACCGGGCCGAAGAGGUUCCUGCAGGCCGAGGGCUUGGGGUGCUCCGCCUGCCUGGCGUCCAUCCGCUCCAGGCUAGGGCUCCCGUUAGACACUCGCACGUUUGACAUCUUUCUCCCGGGUCUGCACGACCGCCUCUCUCGCACUCUCAAAAAAACAAAACCGAACAAAACAAAGCGCCCCUACGCAGCCCGAACCCCUCUCGGAAGCCCAGCGACUGCCCUCGGAGCCAAAAGACACAGACCCCGACGAGCCACGGCCCGAGCUCUAGGAGCGCGCAGGGGCUGCGGGGAAGCCCCGGCCCGGCCGCCGAGUCUCCGCUGAUCAAAUGGACUGGCGAGCGGGAGGGCGGAGAGGAGAGGGGACCAGGCAAGCGGAGAGGGUGGCAAAGCCCGUCCGAGUCUGGGCGGGUGCAAGCCCGCGGGUCCCGCGAACCCAGC